GAAGCCCUCGCGGCCCAGCCUCUCGCGUCGCUCGUUACCCUCCUCUCCCCUCGCGCCGCGCCGCCGCCUCGCGCUCGCCGUCUCCUCCCCUCCCGUUCCCGUGCGCGUGCGACGGCCGCCGCCGCCAUCCCCGCCGCCAGCCCCUCUUCCUCCCCCACGUCCCUCUCUGGAGCCCCCCUUUACCGGAAGAGAGAUGGCAAACACUCUCUGUUUCGUUGAGAAGGGGAGCAGAAGGAAGGCAUGAGCAUGCGGGAGCAGCGCCUCUGUCCGCCGCUGCCGUGGCACGAGGAUGCGGCAGCAGCGCCGCCGUCUGCCGCCGCCUCGCUGUGCCACCUAUGCUAUGCCACCGCCCUCCCUGUCGUCCUCAGCAAAGGAGGCUGGGAUCCAGACCUCCGGCUCGUGCUGCUCCACAUGAGCAGAAGCAGCAGCGCGGGAGAGGAUCGGCCAGAGGCACACCCCGGCGGCAGUAGCACAUACUGCGGGAGUAGCAGUGAAUACGGCAAUGGACGAAAAAGAGGGCCGCGUCAGCCGGCGUUGGGAUGUAGAGGUCACAUCAGUACCAAUGUCACACGCUGAUCAAAGAUGUGCUGGAAGCCUCUCCAAAUGACAUACUAGAUAUCGCAGGUGAUUGUACAUUAAUCUCCAUGGUAUUAGGUCAUUUCAUGUUAAUGAACUACUGUCUCUUGAGUUAAAGAAAAGUUGACAUGAUGGGGUUCUAGCAGCCAUUUCUUUGGGCUUGCGAGAUGAAGGGACCAGUCCAAAGGGGCUCCAAGGAUGAAGAUUUGGCAAGCUUAAUUCCAUGCACACUCAACUAUAUGCAAACACAUGACCAAGAAAGAAAUUUGGCCAAGGAAACAUGAGUACUGGCAGUGGGUCGUAGCGUAAGAGGCGGAAAGAAAUCAGGAUAUCCGCCUUGGGCUCUACUCCGGGAUCGCAUCUGUAAUGUUGAGCCACGGCCCGAAGGUGCAGUGGUGGGAUUCACCAUGGUUGGUUUGACCCCUGGCAAGGUGUCAACACUGAUGAUCUCUCCAUCUCUCUACCAUCCCGAGAUCGAUGACAGAGGGAGAGAGAUGAAUCUGGAUCAGUUCGACAAAAAAACGAAGCAGAUUCUUCCCUGUUUUGAUCUCUUGAUUGAGCACAGAUGAAGAGAUUUUUGGGUUCAGUAAAGAUCCAGGUAUUUGUGCCGACAUUUUCUCACAAAUUUUACGAAUUUUGGCUAAAAACUACUAGGUGCAGUGGAGAGUGUCUUAAAAUUUCGGCUUGGACACCGCUUACUACUAAUUUUGGUGUUGGAUUAUGCGAGCGCCGAAAUGCUGAACGAGCGGAGUGACUUCCGAGACCUCAUAAUGGAGAUCAUCUCUAAACAAAGGUCGGUCAACUAUGCUAGGCCUCCAUUCUGAGGUAGCUACAUUAUUUGUGUGCCUUACUUUUCCUAUCGAUGUUAAUCCUCAUUCAAAUUCAGCGAGGUAAGGGUUGGAAAAAAAGCAAAGUCUAACAGAUUCCCUUUUACUCUCAUGUUAGUGGUGCCGGACCAGAAAAACUUUGAUAAUAAAGGUUCUGAAAUUAAUAUCGGUUAUGCCUGUGUAACGCACAACUGGCGCUUCUCCUCCAAGUUGUGGUUUUAUGUCGGUGCCUCGCCAUGUAACAGCCCAGAGAUAAGAAGACGCCAGUGCAAUUUGGUGACAGUGGAGGGUAGGGAGGAGCGCCAACCGCUGCUCUGUCAGGAGGAGAUGAUCGGGAGGAGCGUGCCGUUGCCAUCACCUCGAGGAGCACCGAGUGCCAGCCGCUGCUCCUACGGGAGGAGCGCCGUCAACAAAGAUCGAGGUUCCUCUCUAUAUAUUUGGAGGAGGAUUCGAAAGGAAGCUAUAUUGAUCUACCAACCGGUUCAGAUGACAAUUGAAUGUUGUGGUUCAGGAAAGCAUAUUACCUUGGUCACACUGGUUAAGAUGAAAAUGGAAUGUGUCCGGCACAUGAUCAAGAACCAUGAAGAUGCGGCUGCAAUUUACGUUUUGAAGCAUGUAUUUCAGUUCAGAUUCAUACUAAUGCAUCUAUCUACCUUGCUAUGUUAUCUGACAAUUGUUCACUGGUCAAGUUAUUUUUGCUUUAUUUUUCUGGCCAUUUUUUUCAACUCCUUACAACAGCAUGUUGCCAACAUCUGGCCCCUUUACUGUCCUCUACUCUAUGAAAUAUUUGCACAUGCUAUUAUUGUUCAGACACUACAUUCCGAGAGCACUUGUGUUUGCCAGUAUUGGCUGCUGUUUGUGGCUUUCUUUGCCUUCAAUUGAUGUACGGACAAAGGAACACGGAGAGGAAACCAGAUGAGAGGCUUCUUUAGCAGUUGACCGCUCCAUCUCUCUUCCUCUCUCCUCAACUUAGCAGUUGGCAUUCAUCUCGGUGUGUUAUUAUUAUCUCUUGAGGGUGCAAAGAGCUAAGGUUGGCUAAAAUUCAUGAAGUGCCAUGGUGUUCUGCUGGGUUUGGUUGUCCAUGUCAACGUGCAAUUUGAAGAUCAGAUCGCCACUCCCCGUGGAACAAUUUUGCAGACAUCUAUAGGCAGCAAAAAAGAUUGUCAGUGUGUUGUACCAGGUCGGCGAGUACGCCGACAAGAACCCCAAUUCCGCCGACUGUGUCGAGGGAGCCCUUAGCCUACGUGGCUGGCUAUAAUCCAAGGGACAUCACAUACUGUAACGAACGACAAGGAGGGGCUGAGGAGUGGUCAGUACCCAAGAUCACACCCAAUUCUUCUCAUGUUUUUAAUUUUCUCUAAUCCAUUUCCUAACGUUUCUGCAAAGCAAUUUAUAUACUCCUACUGAAUUAAGUGUGGUGUUGUACGAUUUGUGGACCUGUAUAGGAUCCUGGCCGUGUAAUUAUCUCAGUUACUGUGUAUUGUCUAAUUCUCUGAGUAAUAUCCAUAUUUGGGUUAAAAAUUUGAAUAAAAAUAUUCUAGCUAAAUUAGAUUAACGAUAGCUUGAUGAGGGCAUCUGUAAUAGAAUACAUAUGUUAUUUUGAGAAACUAGCUUAGUGGCCCUCGGCAAAUGCGAGGGCAUCAUCUUUAAUAUGUCAAAAUGACUUUAAAUAAAUUUAUGGAUCAUGUCAUGGGAUCUAGAAUAAUACAAAUCCCCGAUCAUUGUAAAUAUACACAAUAAUUUUCACGUUGUAAAUCUAUGUGAUCUAGAAUUUGUUGUGGUCUACAACCGAAGUCGAUUAUGUGCUUUAUUAUUGCUCAUGAAUAAAAAAAAAUGGCUCUAGAGAGAUUAAUUCUUGGAACAAAUGAUAUCAAUAUAUAUGUUGCUGGGAGCGAGUGACUAAUCGGUGGAAUGUCUAGCUCAUGGAGCUAUCAUCCGAGGAUGCAGGUGGCCACGGAAAACCAUUGUUUCAGAUUAUCCGUUGUUUCUGUAGUCCAUGCCGCCAAAUGAGGUCUGUUUUGGAGCAUCUCAAUUAUUUUUUUAUCAUUUCUCUUUGAUUGUUUCGGUGGAUUACACUGAUGGAAUGUUCACUGAGUAACUCCCAUGACCAGCUGAUCGUUUUACUUGUGGCUGUUGAAGGAUUACUUCUCUCUAUUUUUGUUGUUAUAUAACCUUGCUAUUUAAUCUCAUCCACUCUGUUUAGUUGAUGCAAACGUCCGUGCUAAUAACAAGGGUCUAAUCACGUGGGAUUUUUUCCAGUACCCGACGCACCUCAGUUGCCUAGAAAUGUGGAAGUAGGGACAUGUACAAUCAAGAGCUCUCUCACUUGUAAAAAUUAAAUGAUGCUAGACAAACCCAUGUUCAUUUCAGCAGCAUUUCAUGUGGGUCGCUGCUUAUGCUGAAGUACGUUUCCGCUGUCGUUGGGUCACCGCUGCUGCUGGAGUACAGGUUGACGGCCUCCAUCUUGGCAUAAGGUUUAAGACAUGGUUGUUGUUGAGAUUCCAUCCAGGGUCUUUAUCAUGGCAGCUUCCAGAUCCAUUGUACAACACUAUACCCACGAAGUAUGAAGUGACGGCGACCUUCCUCUAUUGGUAUGUCAUAUACAUCAAUUUAUUGGAGAAGCCUGGCUAUCCAUCGAGCAAACAUUGUAUAGGCUAUUGAUUAUUGUAUACAAUCAACACCCUGUAGUAAGACAUGUUAGACCAUUUACAUAGUGUUUCACCCAUCAGAUAGUUUUUUAUUUAAUGUUUGAUUACCGGGUCUGUGAGCCUAAUGAUGUUUCUCUAUUUUCCUGAUUGUACAUAAGCGUGUGCUACUCUAUUUAUGAUUUAUGGGUUUUAUCCUAA
Lolium perenne is the source of this 4249-nucleotide non-coding RNA. Lineage: Eukaryota; Viridiplantae; Streptophyta; Magnoliopsida; Poales; Poaceae. The record is from RefSeq and is a predicted model, not a curated record.